This 253-nucleotide ribosomal RNA is filed under the name uncultured bacterium. RNAcentral's name for it is "partial 16S ribosomal RNA". It matches the Rfam family "Bacterial small subunit ribosomal RNA", at positions 524 to 776 of the family's 1533-position model. The record is from RNAcentral.
GACGGAAGGUGCAAGCGUUGCUCGGAAUCACUGGGCGUAAAGGGUGCGUAGGCGGCCGUGCAAGUCUGGCGUGAAAGCCCCGGGCUCAGCCCGGGAAGUGCACUCGAAACUGCGCGGCUCGAGUGCCGGAGGGGAGAGUGGAAUUCCUGGUGUAGCGGUGAAAUGCGUAGAUAUCAGGAGGAAUACCGGUGGCGAAAGCGGCUUUCUGGACGGUAACUGACGCUGAGGAGCGAAAGCGUGGGUAGCGAACAGG